UGGCCUGUAGCUCAGUGUCAGAGCGGACCCUAGAUUGGGGUCAGGUCGCAGGUUCAAGUCCUGCCAGGCCCACCA
RNAcentral lists this transfer RNA (75 nucleotides) under Alphaproteobacteria bacterium SO-S41. Its description in RNAcentral is "tRNA-Ile". It matches the Rfam family "tRNA". Rfam says of the family: Transfer RNA (tRNA) molecules are approximately 80 nucleotides in length. Their secondary structure includes four short double-helical elements and three loops (D, anti-codon, and T loops). The record is from RNAcentral. Lineage: Bacteria; Pseudomonadati; Pseudomonadota; Alphaproteobacteria.